UAAAAGGCAGAUGAAAGGCCAUAACCCACAUCCAUAGUUCAACCUUUCUCCACGUCUUCUUCUUCGAGCCGCUGCCGCUGCCGCUGCCAUUGCAUCUUAGCAAUCCACAAUUACCUGGUCCAGUGUUCGACACAAGCCGCUGUCGCUGCAUCUUUAGUAUCACCACUUCUUAGUAUACAUAUACUCGGCUUCUUUCGCUCGUUGUUUUUCAAUAUGAUUACUGGUUCUCUCUAUACAUAUAGUCGACAAUAUCUUAGCCCUUCUUCUUGAUUGUGUAUUUAUAAUUUUUCAUUUGAAAUAUCCGAUAUCACUACUUGUUUUACAUAUAGUCGGCCAAUAUUUGGUAUCACUCGUUGUUUUACUUUGAUUGUAAAUUUUGAAUGAGAUUAGAA
This 392-nucleotide long non-coding RNA is filed under the name Olea europaea (common olive). RNAcentral's name for it is "long non-coding RNA (OEUR_LNC001796)". Lineage: Eukaryota; Viridiplantae; Streptophyta; Magnoliopsida; Lamiales; Oleaceae. The record is from RNAcentral.